RNAcentral lists this transfer RNA (52 nucleotides) under Streptomyces sp. CB01635. It matches the Rfam family "tRNA", at positions 21 to 71 of the family's 71-position model. Rfam says of the family: Transfer RNA (tRNA) molecules are approximately 80 nucleotides in length. Their secondary structure includes four short double-helical elements and three loops (D, anti-codon, and T loops). Lineage: Bacteria; Bacillati; Actinomycetota; Actinomycetes; Kitasatosporales; Streptomycetaceae. The record is from Rfam by way of RNAcentral.
GCUCGCUGGGCUCAUAACCCAGAGGUCGCAGGUUCAAAUCCUGUCCCCGCUA